AGCGAACGCUGGCGGCAGGCUUAACACAUGCAAGUCGAGCGGGCACCUUCGGGUGUCAGCGGCAGACGGGUGAGUAACACGUGGGAACGUACCCUUUGGUUCGGAACAACUCUGGGAAACUGGAGCUAAUACCGGAUACGCCCUUUUGGGGAAAGGUUUACCGCCGAAGGAUCGGCCCGCGUCUGAUUAGCUAGUUGGUGAGGUAACGGCUCACCAAGGCGACGAUCAGUAGCUGGUCUGAGAGGAUGAUCAGCCACACUGGGACUGAGACACGGCCCAGACUCCUACGGGAGGCAGCAGUGGGGAAUAUUGGACAAUGGGCGCAAGCCUGAUCCAGCCAUGCCGCGUGAGUGAUGAAGGCCUUAGGGUUGUAAAGCUCCUUUGUCCGGGACGAUAAUGACGGUACCGGAAGAAUAAGCCCCGGCUAACUUCGUGCCAGCCGCCGCCGUAAU
RNAcentral lists this ribosomal RNA (452 nucleotides) under uncultured bacterium. Its description in RNAcentral is "bacterial SSU rRNA". It matches the Rfam family "Bacterial small subunit ribosomal RNA", at positions 29 to 524 of the family's 1533-position model. The record is from RNAcentral.